Molecule: ribosomal RNA, 369 nt
Filed under: uncultured organism
Description: bacterial SSU rRNA
Rfam family: Bacterial small subunit ribosomal RNA
Source: RNAcentral
CGUAGGGGGCAAGCGUUAUCCGGAAUUACUGGGUGUAAAGGGUGCGUAGGCGGUAAUGUAAGUCAGGUGUGAAAGCCCGAAGCUCAACUUCGGGAUUGCACUUGAAACUACAUAACUAGAGUACAGGAGAGGUGAGUGGAAUUCCUAGUGUAGCGGUGAAAUGCGUAGAUAUUAGGAGGAACACCAGUGGCGAAGGCGACUCGCUGGACUGUAACUGACGCUGAGGCACGAAAGCGUGGGGAGCGAACAGGAUUAGAUACCCUGGUAGUCCACGCUGUAAACGAUGAAUGCUAGGUGUCGGCUCGUCAAGGGUCGGUGCCGAAGUUAACACAUUAAGCAUUCCACCUGGGGAGUACGAUCGCAAGAUUG